RNAcentral lists this unclassified non-coding RNA (410 nucleotides) under soil metagenome. RNAcentral's name for it is "partial contains 5.8S ribosomal RNA, internal transcribed spacer 2, and large subunit ribosomal RNA". The stretch from base 1 to 120 matches the Rfam family "5.8S ribosomal RNA", at positions 35 to 154 of the family's 154-position model. The record is from RNAcentral.
GAUGAAGAACGCAGCGAAUUGCGAUAUGUAAUGUGAAUUGCAGAAUUCAGUGAAUCAUCGAAUCUUUGAACGCACAUUGCACCCUCUGGUAUUCCGGAGGGUAUGCCUGUUUGAGUGUCAUUAAUAUCUCAACACAGUCAAGUUGUUUGACUUGCACUGAUGCUUGGAUGCUGAAGGUUGCUGGCAAUAUUUGUCAGCUCCUUUUAAAUGUAUUAGCAGAAACCUAUGCAAAAAGCUGGCUUCAGUUUGAUAAGCACUUAUCUGUAUUGCUGUUGCUAGUGAAAUGCCCUUGUUUCAGCUUCCAAUUGUCCAAUCCUUUGGACUGCCUCUCGAGGUAAUUUAAUCUUGACACUUGACCUCAAAUCAGGUAGGACUACCCGCUGAACUUAAGCAUAUCAAUAAGCGGAGGA